UUUAGUGGCGGACUGGUGAGUAACACGUAAGAAACCUGCCUAUUAGAGGGGAAUAACAACGAGAAAUCGUUGCUAAUACCGCAUAAGCUAGUAGUACCGCAUGGUACAGCUAGAAAAGGAGAAAUCCGCUAAUAGAUGGUCUUGCGUCCGAUUAGCUAGUUGGUGGGGUAACGGCCUACCAAGGCAACGAUCGGUAGCCGAGCUGAGAGGCUCAACGGCCACAUUGGGACUGAGAUACGGCCCAGACUCC
Molecule: ribosomal RNA, 250 nt
Filed under: uncultured Acetivibrio sp.
Lineage: Bacteria; Bacillati; Bacillota; Clostridia; Acetivibrionales; Acetivibrionaceae
Description: partial 16S ribosomal RNA
Rfam family: Bacterial small subunit ribosomal RNA
Source: RNAcentral